AUUGAACGCUGGCGGCAGGCCUAACACAUGCAAGUCGAGCGGAUGAAGGGAGCUUGCUCCUGGAUUCAGCGGCGGACGGGUGAGUAAUGCCUAGGAAUCUGCCUGGUAGUGGGGGAUAACGUCCGGAAAUGGGCGCUAAUACCGCAUACGUCCUGAGGGAGAAAGUGGGGGAUCUUCGGACCUCACGCUAUCAGAUGAGCCUAGGUCGGAUUAGCUAGUUGGUGGGGUAAAGGCCUACCAAGGCGACGAUCCGUAACUGGUCUGAGAGGAUGACCAGGCACACUGGAACUGAGACACGGUCCAGACUCCUACGGGAGGCAGCAGUGGGGAAUAUUGGACGAUGGGCGAAAGCCUGAUCCAGCCAUGCCGCGUGUGUGAAGAAGGUCUUCGGAUUGUAAAGCACUUUAAGUUGGGAGGAAGGGCAGUAAGUUAAUACCUUGCUGUUUUGACGUUACCAACAGAAUAAGCACCGGCUAACUUCGUG
Molecule: ribosomal RNA, 484 nt
Filed under: uncultured bacterium
Lineage: Bacteria
Description: partial 16S ribosomal RNA
Rfam family: Bacterial small subunit ribosomal RNA
Source: RNAcentral